RNAcentral lists this transfer RNA (63 nucleotides) under Prasinoderma singulare. RNAcentral's name for it is "partial tRNA". It matches the Rfam family "tRNA", at positions 12 to 63 of the family's 71-position model. Rfam says of the family: Transfer RNA (tRNA) molecules are approximately 80 nucleotides in length. Their secondary structure includes four short double-helical elements and three loops (D, anti-codon, and T loops). Further hydrogen bonds mediate the characteristic L-shaped molecular structure. tRNAs have two regions of fundamental functional importance: the anti-codon, which is responsible for specific mRNA codon recognition, and the 3' end, to which the tRNAs corresponding amino acid is attached (by aminoacyl-tRNA synthetases). tRNAs cope with the degeneracy of the genetic code in two manners: having more than one tRNA (with a specific anti-codon) for a particular amino acid; and 'wobble' base-pairing, i.e. permitting non-standard base-pairing at the 3rd anti-codon position. The record is from RNAcentral. Lineage: Eukaryota; Viridiplantae; Prasinodermophyta; Prasinodermophyceae; Prasinodermales; Prasinodermaceae.
CGAGUGGUCUAAGGGUUCAGAUUUAGGUUCUGAUGUGAAAACGCGCAGGUUCGAAUCCUGCAG